Molecule: non-coding RNA, 101 nt
Organism: Acanthosepion pharaonis
Lineage: Eukaryota; Metazoa; Mollusca; Cephalopoda; Sepiida; Sepiidae
Source: the annotation of a GenBank genome assembly
AGCAUUGAAACACCGGUCCCUGUAUGAUCACUGAAGUUAAGCAACAUUGAGCCUGGUCAGUACUUAUUUAGGAGACUGCUUGUGAAUACCAGGUGCUGUAA